Molecule: ribosomal RNA, 278 nt
Filed under: Escherichia coli
Lineage: Bacteria; Pseudomonadati; Pseudomonadota; Gammaproteobacteria; Enterobacterales; Enterobacteriaceae
Description: partial 16S ribosomal RNA
Rfam family: Bacterial small subunit ribosomal RNA
Source: RNAcentral
UCUGGGAAACUGCCUGAUGGAGGGGGAUAACUACUGGAAACGGUAGCUAAUACCGCAUAACGUCGCAAGACCAAAGAGGGGGACCUUCGGGCCUCUUGCCAUCGGAUGUGCCCAGAUGGGAUUAGCUAGUAGGUGGGGUAACGGCUCACCUAGGCGACGAUCCCUAGCUGGUCUGAGAGGAUGACCAGCCACACUGGAACUGAGACACGGUCCAGACUCCUACGGGAGGCAGCAGUGGGGAAUAUUGCACAAUGGGCGCAAGCCUGAUGCAGCCAUGC